Molecule: small nucleolar RNA, 129 nt
Organism: Artibeus jamaicensis (Jamaican fruit-eating bat)
Lineage: Eukaryota; Metazoa; Chordata; Mammalia; Chiroptera; Phyllostomidae
Product: small nucleolar RNA SNORA30/SNORA37 family
Exons: 1
Source: RefSeq, a predicted model, not a curated record
GAAGCACUUUCACAGGCCCUCCCCCAGGCAGGGGGGCCAGGAUUUGGUAGCUGGUGCUGGAAGGAAAACUCUUGGGCCCAUCCUCGCCCUGGGACCGUGCCAGUGGCACUGUCAGUCAAUGGCACAGGG